Molecule: RNA transcript, 1302 nt
Organism: Dioscorea cayenensis subsp. rotundata (Guinea yam)
Lineage: Eukaryota; Viridiplantae; Streptophyta; Magnoliopsida; Dioscoreales; Dioscoreaceae
Exons: 2
Source: RefSeq, a predicted model, not a curated record
AGAGGACUAUUCAGAUUCUGGAGGAUAUGCUUUGGGCAUGUGCCAUUGACUUUACCGAUUCAUGGGAUCGUUAUUUGCCUUUGGCAGAGUUUGCUUAUAACAACAGUUUCCAGGCGAGUAUUCAAAUGACACCGUUCGAGGUUCUUUAUGGGUGAAAGUGUCGAUCUCCGGUGUGUUGGAGCGAUGUGGGAGAGCGGAAGCUGCUGGGUCCAGAGAUGUUGUAGAUUGCAGAAGAGAAGGUGAAACUGAUCAAGGAGCGAUUGAAGACUGCUCAGAGUCGACAGAAGAGUUAUGCAAACAAGCGCCGCUUAGACCUAGAGUUUCAAGUUGGGGAUUCUGUUUUCCUGAGGACAUCUCCUAUGAAGUGCGUUGUGAGAUUUGGAAAGCGUGGGAAGCAAAACCCCCGUUACAUUGGACCUUUUGAGAUUGUCGAGCGAGUUAUCGCUUAGCCUUACUACCGAAUCUAGCGCAGGUUCACAAUGUCUUCCAUAUCCAUAUGCUGAGGAAGUAUCUGUCAGACCCAUCGCUUGUCAUUCAGUAGGAACCAGUGGAGCUUCGGAAGAAUUUGUCCAAUGAAUAGCAACCAGUGGAGUUCCGUUCAUACAAAGAGCAGCAGUGGGAAAACCAUGUGAUUCCAUUAAUCAAAGUCAGGUGGAGCAACCACUCAAGUGAUGAAGCUACUUGGGAGUGAGAGGUCGAUCUGAGGGAGCGCAAUCCCGAGUUGUUCCCCACUCUUAAAGUGAGUUUAGAGGACUAAACUCCUUUUAAGGGGGGGCGAGAUUGUAAUGUUUGCAACCUUGGCCAUGUUGACCAAGUUGGACAGAGAUAUUUGUUUCCUUUGACUAUUUGACCGAAUACUAGGCUUCCCGACACUGUUUCUCCUUAACCUGGCUUCUCACCCAGCUAGCUUCACACCCGUGAUGCUUCAGUCUUGUCGGGGUUGGUGGAAGGUUGCCUUUUAGAGCAACUCCCUCUUCUAGUCUUCCCAAUCUUCUUCAAGCUUCCUCCUUCUCCUUGUUGGAAGCUCCAAGCUUGGGUAUGCUGGUGGCUGUGCUUCAGCUGUUGGUGGGUCUGCGAUCUUGCCCUCUUAAGGAGAAGAUCAAGUCUAUUAUCGGGGGGUGUCUAGGAGUUGUAUUUUCUGCUUUUUGUCAGUAUCACUGUAGUGCACUUUUCUGUGAGUGUAAGGCUUGUAUUCUGACUGUAUUUGUACUUUGUAAACUAUUGGAUUGUCUUUGUAUUUUGUAGGGUUGUUAAAGCCCGUACUUGUAUUCUUUAAGUCUCUAGUAUCCUAUUUGUGCUUCU